AGUGAACGCUGGCGGUAGGCCUAACACAUGCAAGUCGAACGGCAGCACAGUAAGAGCUUGCUCUUACGGGUGGCGAGUGGCGGACGGGUGAGGAAUACAUCGGAAUCUACUUUUUCGUGGGGGAUAACGUAGGGAAACUUACGCUCAUACCGCAUACGACCUACGGGUGAAAGCAGGGGAUCUUCGGACCUUGCGCGAUUGAAUGAGCCGAUGUCGGAUUAGCUAGUUGGCGGGGUAAAGGCCCACCAAGGCGACGAUCCGUAGCUGGUCUGAGAGGAUGAUCAGCCACACUGGAACUGAGACACGGUCCAGACUCCUACGGGAGGCAGCAGUGGGGAAUAUUGGACAAUGGGCGCAAGCCUGAUCCAGCCAUACCGCGUGGGUGAAGAAGGCCUUCGGGUUGUAAAGCCCUUUUGUUGGGAAAGAAAAGCAGCUGGUUAAUACCCCGCUGUUCUGACGGUACCCAAAGAAUAAGCACCGGCUAACUUCGUG
RNAcentral lists this ribosomal RNA (492 nucleotides) under uncultured bacterium. Its description in RNAcentral is "partial 16S ribosomal RNA". It matches the Rfam family "Bacterial small subunit ribosomal RNA", at positions 29 to 507 of the family's 1533-position model. The record is from RNAcentral.